RNAcentral lists this unclassified non-coding RNA (532 nucleotides) under Hevea brasiliensis (rubber tree). The record is from RNAcentral. Lineage: Eukaryota; Viridiplantae; Streptophyta; Magnoliopsida; Malpighiales; Euphorbiaceae.
GAGCAGCUGCUUGCAGAAUGUGAGGUAAAAUAAAUCUGUUCAUAUUAAAUUGGUCUAGAAUUUCCUCUUCUACUUGUAACUACUUUUCUGACAUUUUCUUGAUUUCAAUAAUUCUUUUCUUUUCUGCAAGUAAUGCUGAGUGUGUUUGGCAUGAUAACGGAUGGGAUGGGAUGGGAUCAAUGCUUGCCUCACCUGCCCUUGCACAGAAAGUGGUAGUCAGUGCACUUGGGUGGGAUGAAUGCAUUGCUGAUAAAAAGUCCACAUCAGCCUCUGCGCGUGCCACAUGGUGUGCGCUUUGUGGUCCCUUUGGCAGCUUCUCUCCUUUGGCCAUGCAACUCAAUUGACUGUUGCACAAACAGUCAUUUUAAUUUUAAUUUUUUCUUUUCAUUAAGAAAAAGACAAAAAUACCCUCAACAGAAAAAGCCAUAAUAUUGGGGCUUUUUGAGAAUAGGAAAAUUUGCUCUAUCCUAUAUACACCCAUAAACAUGUUCCAAUUUGUUGUAACAAAUUCUAAUAUCAAUAAAAAUACAAG